RNAcentral lists this ribosomal RNA (414 nucleotides) under uncultured bacterium. RNAcentral's name for it is "bacterial SSU rRNA". It matches the Rfam family "Bacterial small subunit ribosomal RNA", at positions 508 to 921 of the family's 1533-position model. The record is from RNAcentral.
UCAGCCGCCGCGGUAAUACGUAGGUGGCAAGCGUUGUCCGGAAUUAUUGGGCGUAAAGCGCGCGCAGGCGGGAUAACAAGUCUAUCUUAAAAGUUCGGGGCUCAACCCCGUGAUGGGAUGGAAACUGUUAUUCUUGAGUGUCGGAGAGGAAAGUGGAAUUCCCAGUGUAGCGGUGAAAUGCGUAGAUAUUGGGAGGAACACCAGUGGCGAAGGCGACUUUCUGGACGAUGUCUGACGCUGAGGCGCGAAAGCCAGGGAAGUGAACGGGAUUAGAUACCCCGGUAAUCCUGGCCGUAAACGAUGGGUACUAGGUGUAGAGGGUAUCGACCCCUUCUGUGCCGGAGUUAACGCAAUAAGUACCCCGCCUGGGGAGUACGGCCGCAAGGUUGAAACUUAAAGGAAUUGGCGGGGGAC